CCUACGGGCGGCAGCAGUGAGGAAUAUUGGUCAAUGGACGAGAGUCUGAACCAGCCAAGUAGCGUGAAGGAUGACUGCCCUAUGGGUUGUAAACUUCUUUUAUAUGGGAAUAAAACGUUCCACGUGUGGGAUUUUGUAUGUACCAUAUGAAUAAGGAUCGGCUAACUCCGUGCCAGCAGCCGCGGUAAUACGGAGGAACCGAGCGUUAGCCGGAUUUAUUGGGUUUAAAGGGAGCGUAGGUGGGUUGUUAAGUGAGUUGUGAAAGUUUGCGGCUCAACCGUAAAAUUGCAGUUGAAACUGGCAGUCUUGAGUACAGUAGAGGUCGGCGGAAUUCGUGGUGUAGCGGUGAAAUGCUUAGAUAUCACGAAGAACUCCGAUUGCGAAGGCAGUUCACUAGACUGCAACUGACACUGAGGCUCGAAAGUGUGGGUAUCAAACAGGAUUAGAUACCCGUGUAGUC
This 460-nucleotide ribosomal RNA is filed under the name uncultured bacterium. RNAcentral describes it as "partial 16S ribosomal RNA". It matches the Rfam family "Bacterial small subunit ribosomal RNA", at positions 338 to 795 of the family's 1533-position model. The record is from RNAcentral.